RNAcentral lists this long non-coding RNA (624 nucleotides) under Homo sapiens (human). RNAcentral's name for it is "non-protein coding lnc-ANKRD34B-4:1". It matches the Rfam family "Bacterial small subunit ribosomal RNA", at positions 26 to 1022 of the family's 1533-position model. The record is from RNAcentral. Lineage: Eukaryota; Metazoa; Chordata; Mammalia; Primates; Hominidae.
CUAUUAGCUCUUAGUAAGAUUACACAUGCAAGCAUCCCUGCCCCGGUGAGUCACCCUCUAAAUCACCACGAUCAAAAGGAACAAGUAUCAAGCACGCAGCAACGCAGCUCAAAACGCUUAGCCUAGCCACACCCCCACGGGAGACAGCAGUGAUAAACCUUUAGCAAUAAACGAAAGUUUAACUAAGCUAUACUAACCCUAGGGUUCGUCAAGUUCGUGCCAGCCACCGCGGUCACACGAUUAACCCAAGUCAAUAGAAACCGGCGUAAAGAGUGUUUUAGAUCAAUUCCCCUCAAUAAAGCUAAAAUUCACCUGAGUUGUAAAAAACUCCAGUUGAUACAAAAUAAACUACGAAAGUGGCUUUAACGCAUCUGAACACACAAUAGCUAAGACCCAAACUGGGAUUAGAUACCCCACUAUGCUUAGCCCUAAACUUCAACAGUUAAAUUAACAAAACUGCUCGCCAGAACACUACGAGCCACAGCUUAAAACUCAAAGGACCUGGCGGUGCUUCAUAUCCCUCUAGAGGAGCCUGUUCUGUAAUCGAUAAACCCCGAUCAACCUCACCACCUCUUGCUCAGCCUAUAUACCGCCAUCUUCAGCAAACCCUGACGAAGGCUGCAA